AUUGAACGCUGGCGGCAGGCCUAACACAUGCAAGUCGAGCGAGCGGCGGACGGGAGAGAAAUGUAUGGAGAUGUGCCUGAUGGAGGGGGAUAACUACGGGAAACGAUAGAUAAUACCGCAAACCAUCAGAUGAACCCAUAUGGGAUUAGCUUGUAGGUGAGGUAACGGCACACCUAGGCGAAGAUCCAUAGCUGGUCUGCGAGGAUGAUCAGCCACACUGGGACUGAGACACGGCCCAGACUCCUACGGGAGGCAGCAGUGGGGAAUAUUGCACAAUGGGCGCAAGCCUGAUGCAGCCAUGCCGCGUGUAUGAAGAAGGCCUUCGGGUUGUAAAGUACUUUCAGUCGGGAGGCGUUACCGACAGAAGAAGCACCGGCUAACUCCGUGCCAGCAGCCGCGGUAAUAC
Molecule: ribosomal RNA, 406 nt
Filed under: uncultured bacterium
Lineage: Bacteria
Description: partial 16S ribosomal RNA
Rfam family: Bacterial small subunit ribosomal RNA
Source: RNAcentral